GACGAACGCUGGCGGCGUGCUUAACACAUGCAAGUCGAACGGAAAGGCCCUGCUUUUGUGGGGUGCUCGAGUGGCGAACGGGUGAGUAACACGUGAGUAACCUGCCCUUGACUUUGGGAUAACUUCAGGAAACUGGGGCUAAUACCGGAUAGGAGCUCCUGCUGCAUGGUGGGGGUUGGAAAGUUUCGGCGGUUGGGGAUGGACUCGCGGCUUAUCAGCUUGUUGGUGGGGUAGUGGCUUACCAAGGCUUUGACGGGUAGCCGGCCUGAGAGGGUGACCGGCCACAUUGGGACUGAGAUACGGCCCAGACUCCUACGGGAGGCAGCAGUGGGGAAUAUUGCACAAUGGGCGGAAGCCUGAUGCAGCAACGCCGCGUGCGGGAUGACGGCCUUCGGGUUGUAAACCGCUUUCGCCUGUGACGAAGCGUGAGUGACGGUAAUGGGUAAAGAAGCACCGGCUAACUACGUGCCAGCAGCCGCGGUGAUACGUAGGGUGCGAGCGUUGUCCGGAUUUAUUGGGCGUAAAGGGCUCGUAGGUGGUUGAUCGCGUCGGAAGUGUAAUCUUGGGGCUUAACCCUGAGCGUGCUUUCGAUACGGGUUGACUUGAGGAAGGUAGGGGAGAAUGGAAUUCCUGGUGGAGCGGUGGAAUGCGCAGAUAUCAGGAGGAACACCAGUGGCGAAGGCGGUUCUCUGGGCCUUUCCUGACGCUGAGGAGCGAAAGCGUGGGGAGCGAACAGGCUUAGAUACCCUGGUAGUCCACGCUGUAAACGGUGGGUACUAGGUGUGGGGUCCAUUCCACGGGUUCCGUGCCGUAGCUAACGCUUUAAGUACCCCGCCUGGGGAGUACGGCCGCAAGGCUAAAACUCAAAGGAAUUGACGGGGCCCCGCACAAGCGGCGGAGCAUGCGGAUUAAUUCGAUGCAACGCGUAGAACCUUACCUGGGUUUGACAUGGAUCGGGAGUGCUCAGAGAUGGGUGUGCCUCUUUUGGGGUCGGUUCACAGGUGGUGCAUGCCUGUCGUCAGCUCGUGUCGUGAGAUGUUGGGUUAAGUCCCGCAACGAGCGCAACCCUUGUUCACUGUUGCCAGCACGUCAUGGUGGGGACUCAGUGGAGACCGCCGGGGUCAACUCGGAGGAAGGUGGGGAUGACGCCAAGUCAUCAUGCCCCUUAUGUCCAGGGCUUCACGCAUGCUACAAUGGCUGGUACAGAGAGUGGCGAGCCUGUGAGGGUGAGCGAAUCUCGGAAAGCCGGUCUCAGUUCGGAUUGGGGUCUGCAACUCGACCUCAUGAAGUCGGAGUCGCUAGUAAUCGCAGAUCAGCAACGCUGCGGUGAAUAAGUUCCCGGG
This 1343-nucleotide ribosomal RNA is filed under the name uncultured bacterium. RNAcentral's name for it is "16S ribosomal RNA". It matches the Rfam family "Bacterial small subunit ribosomal RNA", at positions 28 to 1378 of the family's 1533-position model. The record is from RNAcentral.